Long non-coding RNA from Protopterus annectens (West African lungfish), 513 nucleotides. RefSeq lists it as uncharacterized. The record is from RefSeq and is a predicted model, not a curated record. NCBI's taxonomy places the organism in Eukaryota, Metazoa, Chordata, Ceratodontiformes, Protopteridae. The transcript is spliced from 3 exons.
AAUAUAAGCUCCUGUGCUGUCUGACUGAAAGCCUACUCCACGAACUUAACUGGAAAUUGUAAGGCCUUCUGUUCCCUGAGUCCUCCCUCCACAAGAUUACAAGAAACUUGGGCCCCUGCCCACCCUGCCCUAACCUGCUGAAUAUAAGCUCCUGUGCUGUCUGACUGAAAGCCUACUCCACGAACUUAACUGGAAAUUGUAAGGCCUUCUGUUCCCUGAGUCCUCCCUCCACAAGAUUACAAGAAACUUGGGCCCCUGCCCACCCUGCCCUAACCUGCUGAAUAUAAGCUCCUGUGCUGUCUGACUGAAAGCCUACUCCACGAACUUAACUGGAAAUUGUAAGGCCUUCUGUUCCCUGAGUCCUCCCUCCACAAGAUUACAAGAAAGUAUGUGUACUGUUGUAGCUCUGCACUUUAAUAGUUGGUACUACUAGGUCGCAGUACGCUUCCCUGCCAGACUAGCCAGCAGCCACUACCUCCUACUGCACUCUCUAUUUGUUCCCCUUUCCUCCAG